This is a non-coding RNA of Xenopus tropicalis (tropical clawed frog), 109 nucleotides long. NCBI's taxonomy places the organism in Eukaryota, Metazoa, Chordata, Amphibia, Anura, Pipidae. The record is from Rfam.
GCCUACGGCCAUACCACCCUGAAAGCGUCUGAUCUCGGAAGCUAAGCAGGGACGGGCUUGGUUAGUACCUGGAUGGGAGACCGCCUGGGAAUACCAGGUGUUGUAGGCU